RNAcentral lists this ribosomal RNA (240 nucleotides) under uncultured Staphylococcus sp. Its description in RNAcentral is "partial 16S ribosomal RNA". It matches the Rfam family "Bacterial small subunit ribosomal RNA", at positions 100 to 334 of the family's 1533-position model. Lineage: Bacteria; Bacillati; Bacillota; Bacilli; Caryophanales; Staphylococcaceae. The record is from RNAcentral.
GGACGGGUGAGUAACACGUGGAUAACCUACCUAUAAGACUGGGAUAACUUCGGGAAACCGGAGCUAAUACCGGAUAAUAUAUUGAACCGCAUGGUUCAAUAGUGAAAGACGGUUUUGCUGUCACUUAUAGAUGGAUCCGCGCCGCAUUAGCUAGUUGGUAAGGUAACGGCUUACCAAGGCAACGAUGCGUAGCCGACCUGAGAGGGUGAUCGGUCACACUGGAACUGAGACACGGUCCAG